AUGGCGUUCGCCGACGAGUAUAAGGCCAUGGAGGCCCACGGCAAUACCAAGUUGCAUGUCAUCCACACAAACGACAAGAAGCAGGUGGCGACCACCCUCGCGCAAACAAACACGAGAGAGCAGAGGAGAGUCAUGGCGGAUGCACCUCUUUACAAGCAGCACCACAGGUACACCAGUGAGCUCCACGAUGUCGACCUCCAUGACAACCACAAGCUCCACGUCAUUUGCACAAGCAAGGGUGAAGACGUGGACAAGAUGCUGUCCACGCUCAGGAGGAAGCUCGGCGGAAUGCCCGUCAAACUAGUCGGCAUUGAUGUUGAGUACACGCACUACGUGAAGCCACAGCGGGCAGCAGUGCUCCAGCUAUGCGUAGAAAAAGAAUGUCUUGUCUACCACAUGUGUGCAGCUAAAGGCAGGCCAAUGGAACUAGACAAAUUCCUCGUGGAUGGUGAGUACACCUUCAUCGGAUUCGCCAUUGAAGGGGACAAAAGCAAGCUGAAGCUAUCUGGUUUGGAGAUCAACUCCGACAACUACAUUGAUAUUCAGGUGGAAUGGAGAGGCCCAUACAAUAAAAAUAAGUUUGACACUUUAGCUGAUGUUGCCGGCAGGAUGAUAGACAUUCACUACCAUGACAUGAAGAAAAAAAUUAACCGCAAGGAGGACCAUACCCUGUGA
RNAcentral lists this ribosomal RNA (675 nucleotides) under Triticum aestivum (bread wheat). RNAcentral describes it as "partial small subunit ribosomal RNA". The record is from RNAcentral. Lineage: Eukaryota; Viridiplantae; Streptophyta; Magnoliopsida; Poales; Poaceae.